ACACUCAGGGAGUGCACCAUGUGAAGACUGGACUUAAACAGCUACACCACCAGAAGCCGAGAGAGAGGCUGGAACAUAGCCUUCCCUUUGGAGGUAGCCUGGCCCAGUGGGCACUGUGAUCUCAGACUUCCAGCCUUCAGAACUAAUAACUGGGAGAUGAAACAGGAAGCUCUAUGACACACUUGAUCGAAUAUGACAGACACUGAAAAUCACGACUCAUCCCCCUCCAGCACCUCUACCUGUUGCCCGCCGAUCACAGCCGGAAUGCAGCUGAAAGAUUCCCUGGGGCCUGGUUCCAACUGCCCACUGUGGACUCUGAGGCCUCUGCAUUUGCGGGUGGUCUGCCUGUGAUAUUUUGGUCAUGGGCUGGUCUGGUCGGUUUCCCAUUUGUCUGGCCAGUCUCUGUGUGUCUUAAUCCCUUGUCCUUCAUUAAAAGCAAAAC
This 442-nucleotide long non-coding RNA is filed under the name Homo sapiens (human). RNAcentral describes it as "LHRI_LNC517.26". The record is from RNAcentral. Lineage: Eukaryota; Metazoa; Chordata; Mammalia; Primates; Hominidae.